UUAAUGAGUUGUCUCCUCACUUGCGGGUGAAUCUUUCGCCUUUUACUAAAGAUUUCCAUGAGGAGGCACGAUACAAUGAGUCUUGCCUCAUUUUUUCCAGCUCUAUCUUCGGACGGAGU
Molecule: small nuclear RNA, 119 nt
Filed under: Trichobilharzia regenti
Lineage: Eukaryota; Metazoa; Platyhelminthes; Trematoda; Strigeidida; Schistosomatidae
Description: U5 spliceosomal RNA
Rfam family: U5 spliceosomal RNA
About the family: U5 RNA is a component of both types of known spliceosome.
Source: Rfam by way of RNAcentral